This 253-nucleotide ribosomal RNA is filed under the name uncultured bacterium. Its description in RNAcentral is "partial 16S ribosomal RNA". It matches the Rfam family "Bacterial small subunit ribosomal RNA", at positions 524 to 776 of the family's 1533-position model. The record is from RNAcentral.
UACGAAGGGGGCUAGCGUUGCUCGGAAUCACUGGGCGUAAAGCGCACGUAGGCGGCUCUCUAAGUCAGGGGUGAAAUCCUGGAGCUCAACUCCAGAACUGCCUUUGAUACUGGAGAGCUCGAGUCCGGAAGAGGUGAGUGGAACUCCGAGUGUAGAGGUGAAAUUCGUAGAUAUUCGGAAGAACACCAGUGGCGAAGGCGGCUCACUGGUCCGGUACUGACGCUGAUGUGCGAAAGCGUGGGGAGCAAACAGG